GAGAAGGAUGUUUAAAGGUGCGUUCGCCCCUGAUCGAUGAUUGGCCCAAUGCGAAGAGCAAAGGGGGCUGUGAUUGGAGGUCAGACCAGGCACGUCCCAGCCCUUUUUGCUGACCAAGCCAGUGUGUUCCCAGCCCUAGAAGGCAAUCAAAUAUUGCAUCCAACAGAAGUGACAUCCAGGAGCGGUGGGGAGGAGACUGGAGAGAUGAAUUCCUCAGUCUGGGCCAUUUGCAGCUCUUGGUGCCAAUGUCAUGAUUCCCAGAAUGUGCUGAACAGCAGCAGCAUUGGAGGGGAGAGGUCUCUGCACCCGAUUCACAGAAAAAAGGAAAAACAAGUUUGGGGCAGAUACUGAGCUGGAAACUCCAUCAAAGAAAAUGAAAAGGGGCAAAAUGGAAGAGGAGCAUUGGGAAGAGGGCAUCUCUUAGCAAUGGACCCAAUAUUCUUGCAGCCUCACAUCCAUCCCAGGACACACAAUCUGUAAGUGAGAUUUACUUUUCUCCUCAUCAUCCCCUCCCACCCUUCAGACUCCAGGUGGUUUGUCUCAUUCACUUACUGCCUUUUGUCAUAACCAAGACCCAGAUCAUACAAAGACUUUGACAUGAAAGUAGCUUUACCCAGUUUCGUCCUUUUGACACUAACGGGAUGUUCAGAGUCUGCGGGAGGUCCACCGGAGCCGCAGGACCGGCGACCAGCAGAACUCCCCCCGUGGCGUGCCGCCGUACUUGGGGCGGCGAAAUGGCUAGAGCCGCCCCUGCUCAUUGGAUUGUCUGUGCUAUUGUCGUGUGUGAAGUUAUAAAGUUUGGUUAUUUAUGUGUUAUGGAAACAUGUUGUGAGGUUGAAAACACCCACCAGCAGCCUUUCAGGUAUAACAGUAAAAAGGGCAAGCAAUAUUAAUGGCUUAUUGAGGAAAUGCACACAAGCACAAGGAUUACCCCAGGAACUGUGUACACUAGAAACCCCUCAGAGAUAGCACUACACAAUGGAACUGUUUGACCCGAGGUGACAGCAAAAGAACUUUCCAGCAAGUGGGGAGAAGAUAUAAAAGGGGGACAAUGAUAUCAUGAGCGUACCUCACUCUCCCUGCAACCACACACCUGGAAAUAUCUGAGAGGCAAGGACUGAACUGUUGUAAGCGACGGUCCAACACUAGAAGCAACUAGCCUGUAUGAAAACCUGGGAAAGCCAAGGCAACUUGUGCCUUAGGAAUCUGCCAGCCUGUUUAUCACCCAGGGUGAGGAUUUGCUCAUUUAUAACCUACCUAUCUAGUGUGUUAAGCAAAGUUUGCGGGUUUUGUUUAUUUACUGAGGUAAUCUGCUUUGAUCUGUUCGCUAACCCU
This is a long non-coding RNA of Mauremys mutica (yellowpond turtle), 1335 nucleotides long. RefSeq lists it as uncharacterized. Lineage: Eukaryota; Metazoa; Chordata; Testudines; Geoemydidae. The record is from RefSeq and is a predicted model, not a curated record. The transcript has 4 exons.